GAUGAACGCUGGCGGCGUGCCUAACACAUGCAAGUCGAGCGGCAGCGAGGGGUGCUUGCACCCUGUCGGCGAGCGGCGGACGGCUGAGUAACGCGUGGGAACGUGCCCCAAAGUGAGGAAUAACUGCCCGAAAGGGUAGCUAAUACCGCAUAUUAUCUUCGGAUCAAAGGAUUUAUCCGCUUUGGGAGCGGCUCGCGUCGGAUUAGGUAGUUGGUGAGGUAAUGGCUCACCAAGCCGACGAUCCGUAGCUGGUCUGAGAGGAUGACCAGCCAGACUGGAACUGAGACACGGUCCAGACUCCUACGGGAGGCAGCAGUGAGGAAUCUUCCACAAUGGGCGAAAGCCUGAUGGAGCAACGCCGCGUGCAGGACGAAGGCCUUCGGGUUGUAAACUGCUUUUAUAAGUGAGGAAUAUGACGGUAACUUAUGAAUAAGGAUCGGCUAACUACAUG
RNAcentral lists this ribosomal RNA (451 nucleotides) under uncultured bacterium. RNAcentral describes it as "partial 16S ribosomal RNA". It matches the Rfam family "Bacterial small subunit ribosomal RNA", at positions 28 to 507 of the family's 1533-position model. The record is from RNAcentral.